UACGUAGGCAGCGAGCGUUGUUCGGAGUUACUGGGCGUAAAGCGUGCGCAGGCGGUUAUGUAAGACAGUUGUGAAAUCCCCGGGCUCAACCUGGGAAUUGCAUCUGUGACUGCAUAGCUAGAGUACGGUAGAGGGGGAUGGAAUUCCGCGUGUAGCAGUGAAAUGCGUAGAUAUGCGGAGGAACACCGAUGGCGAAGGCAAUCCCCUGGACCUGUACUGACGCUCAUGCACGAAAGCGUGGGGAGCAAACAGG
This 253-nucleotide ribosomal RNA is filed under the name uncultured bacterium. RNAcentral's name for it is "partial 16S ribosomal RNA". It matches the Rfam family "Bacterial small subunit ribosomal RNA", at positions 524 to 776 of the family's 1533-position model. The record is from RNAcentral.